This is a non-coding RNA of Cinara cedri, 271 nucleotides long. Lineage: Eukaryota; Metazoa; Arthropoda; Insecta; Hemiptera; Aphididae. The record is from the annotation of a GenBank genome assembly.
UAUUAUCUACGGGAAUUCGAUCCACGAGCGUGUGGACGGACCAAUAAAUAAAUUCUGAUUGGCCUAAAAUAGUUCAGAAACACCUGUUCGGAGACAGAGAUUUCAGAAACGUAUUUUUAUUUUAUAUUGACGGUAAUAUUUUUUUCCAUGCAACCGUUUGGAUAUAUUUUGUAUGUCUGCCAACGUCUGAAUUUCCAAUAACUUGGCACAGGUACUAUGGCUACUAUUGCAAGUAUAGGUUAGGCCGACGACUAUUUGGGCGACGGAUUUU